This 497-nucleotide ribosomal RNA is filed under the name uncultured bacterium. Its description in RNAcentral is "partial 16S ribosomal RNA". It matches the Rfam family "Bacterial small subunit ribosomal RNA", at positions 28 to 507 of the family's 1533-position model. The record is from RNAcentral.
GAUGAACGCUGGCGGCGUGCCUAAUACAUGCAAGUCGAGCGAACGGACGAGAAGCUUGCUUCUCUGAUGUUAGCGGCGGACGGGUGAGUAACACGUGGAUAACCUACCUAUAAGACUGGGAUAACUCCGGGAAACCGGAGCUAAUACCGGAUGAUAUUUUGAACCGCAUGGUUCAAAAGUGAAAGACGGUCUUGCUGUCACUUAUAGAUGGAUCCGCGCUGCAUUAGCUAGUUGGUAAGGUAACGGCUUACCAAGGCAACGAUGCAUAGCCGACCUGAGAGGGUGAUCGGCCACACUGGAACUGAGACACGGUCCAGACUCCUACGGGAGGCAGCAGUAGGGAAUCUUCCGCAAUGGGCGAAAGCCUGACGGAGCAACGCCGCGUGAGUGAUGAAGGUCUUCGGAUCGUAAAACUCUGUUAUUAGGGAAGAACAUAUGUGUAAGUAACUGUGCACAUCUUGACGGUACCUAAUCAGAAGGCCACGGCUAACUACGUG